CCUACGGGGGGCUGCAGUGGGGAAUAUUGGACAAUGGGCGAAAGCCUGAUCCAGCCAUGCCGCGUGUGUGAAGAAGGCCUUCGGGUUGUAAAGCACUUUCAGUGGGGAAGAAAGCCUUGGGGCUAAUACCCUCGAGGAAGGACAUCACCCACAGAAGAAGCACCGGCUAACUCCGUGCCAGCAGCCGCGGUAAUACGGAGGGUGCGAGCGUUAAUCGGAAUUACUGGGCGUAAAGCGCGCGUAGGCGGUCUGAUAAGCCGGUUGUGAAAGCCCCGGGCUCAACCUGGGAACGGCAUCCGGAACUGUCAGGCUAGAGUGCAGGAGAGGAAGGUAGAAUUCCCGGUGUAGCGGUGAAAUGCGUAGAGAUCGGGAGGAAUACCAGUGGCGAAGGCGGCCUUCUGGACUGACACUGACGCUGAGGUGCGAAAGCGUGGGUAGCAAACAGGAUUAGAUACCCGAGUGUC
This 464-nucleotide ribosomal RNA is filed under the name Vreelandella stevensii. RNAcentral's name for it is "partial 16S ribosomal RNA". It matches the Rfam family "Bacterial small subunit ribosomal RNA", at positions 338 to 795 of the family's 1533-position model. Lineage: Bacteria; Pseudomonadati; Pseudomonadota; Gammaproteobacteria; Oceanospirillales; Halomonadaceae. The record is from RNAcentral.